RNAcentral lists this ribosomal RNA (484 nucleotides) under uncultured bacterium. RNAcentral describes it as "partial 16S ribosomal RNA". It matches the Rfam family "Bacterial small subunit ribosomal RNA", at positions 30 to 507 of the family's 1533-position model. The record is from RNAcentral.
AUUGAACGCUGGCGGCAGGCCUAACACAUGCAAGUCGAGCGGAUGAAGGGAGCUUGCUCCUGGAUUCAGCGGCGGACGGGUGAGUAAUGCCUAGGAAUCUGCCUGGUAGUGGGGGAUAACGUCCGGAAACGGGCGCUAAUACCGCAUACGUCCUGAGGGAGAAAGUGGGGGAUCUUCGGACCUCACGCUAUCAGAUGAGCCUAGGUCGGAUUAGCUAGUUGGUGGGGUAAAGGCCUACCAAGGCGACGAUCCGUAACUCGUCUGAGAGGAUGAUCAGUCACACUGGAACUGAGACACGGUCCAGACUCCUACGGGAGGCAGCAGUGGGGAAUAUUGAACAAUGGGCGAAAGCCUGAUCCAGCCAUGCCGCGUGUGUGAAGAAGGUCUUCGGAUUGUAAAGCACUUUAAGUUGGGAGGAAGGGCAGUAAGUUAAUACCUUGCUGUUUUGACGUUACCAACAGAAUAAGCACCGGCUAACUUCGUG